UGAACCCAGUUUUGCAGGAAGAACAGUAUGGCUAGCCGUACUUGGUGUGCAUAGCAAUGAGUGUAUGUCAAGCACUUAGCGAGCAUGCAGAGGCCCUGGGCUCAAUUACUAGUACCACAGACAAGGCAUAGCGGCAUAAUUGCAGCAUUUAGGAUUAGGUUUUGUAAAGCACCCUGGGGUCUCUCUAUGCAGCUCAAACGCUCACUAUGUAGCCCAGGUUGGCCUCGACCUUACAAUGAUCCUCCUGCUUCUGCCUUCCUGGGGGCUAAGCAGAGAACUCAAGGCAAUCUUCUUGCCUGAGCCUCCCAAAAGGGACUGCAGGGCUGACCCACUGUACUUAAUUAAAGAACUUAUAACAACCAAGAAGCUCUGUAACAACCAGACAGACAGCUGCUGAGAGAAAAACAACUCCAA
RNAcentral lists this long non-coding RNA (414 nucleotides) under Rattus norvegicus (Norway rat). RNAcentral describes it as "long non-coding RNA NONRATT024211". Lineage: Eukaryota; Metazoa; Chordata; Mammalia; Rodentia; Muridae. The record is from RNAcentral.